Long non-coding RNA from Impatiens glandulifera, 389 nucleotides. RefSeq lists it as uncharacterized. NCBI's taxonomy places the organism in Eukaryota, Viridiplantae, Streptophyta, Magnoliopsida, Ericales, Balsaminaceae. The transcript is spliced from 2 exons. The record is from RefSeq and is a predicted model, not a curated record.
GAAAGUCAGUGCUUACGUAACACAUGGAAUUUUCCCCAACAGGUCCUUCGAACGAUUUGAACCCGAUAAUGGAGGAUCGCCCGAGAAUGGAUUAAGUUAUUUCUGGAUAACAGAUUCAUGUCCAGAGACAGUAAAGGAGGUGAACAACAGGCCUCCAUUUUAAGUUCUUAGUCUUGCUGCAUCUAUAGCUGCUACUCUCCAGAUUUGAUUUUACUGAUAAAAUAAUACAAUCCCGACUACAGAUUGCCUGAGAGUUGUUUAUGAUUUGAUCCUCAAGUAUAUUGUUAGUGUUCUUAAAAUGUUUACUUAUGAGUGUAGCUAAUAAAAUGAUUACCCAAGCAGAAAAACCAUAUUUUGUAUUUGUACAAUAAACAACUUGUUUUCAUCCA